Molecule: ribosomal RNA, 465 nt
Filed under: uncultured bacterium
Lineage: Bacteria
Description: bacterial SSU rRNA
Rfam family: Bacterial small subunit ribosomal RNA
Source: RNAcentral
CCUACGGGAUGCAGCAGUGGGGAAUAUUGGACAAUGGGGGCAACCCUGAUCCAGCCAUGCCGCGUGUGUGAAGAAGGCCUUCGGGUUGUAAAGCACUUUCAGAUGUGAGGAAAGGUGAGUAGUUAAUACCUGCUUACUGUGACGUUAGCAUCAGAAGAAGGACCGGCUAACUCCGUGCCAGCAGCCGCGGUAAUACGGAGGGUCCGAGCGUUAAUCGGAAUUACUGGGCGUAAAGCGCGCGUAGGUGGUUUUGUCAGUCAGAUGUUAAAGCCCAGGGCUCAACCUUGGAACUGCACCUGAUACUGCAAGACUAGAGUACAAUAGAGGGGAGUGGAAUUUCCGGUGUAGCGGUGAAAUGCGUAGAGAUCGGAAGGAACACCAGUGGCGAAGGCGACUCCCUGGAUUGAUACUGACACUGAGGUGCGAAAGCGUGGGGAGCAAACAGGAUUAGAUACCCUAGUAGUC